Oryza sativa Japonica Group (Japanese rice) is the source of this 1082-nucleotide long non-coding RNA. RefSeq lists it as uncharacterized. NCBI's taxonomy places the organism in Eukaryota, Viridiplantae, Streptophyta, Magnoliopsida, Poales, Poaceae. The record is from RefSeq and is a predicted model, not a curated record.
AUCUCGAUCCUCCAAAACAAAUCUAACAAAUCUAACGCCUCUCAGACGUUGAAUUUAUUUUAGAGGGCUGGCUUGUGAUUCUCAAUCUGAAUCCCAUCGCGGACUACCUCACCCGACCAGACCACCAACAGUGACACCUCCAACAAGUAGAACGAGUCCUACACCAUCGCCUGUGGCGAGGAGUUCUUCUCGGUGGCGGCGGCGGCGAGGAGAAGGAGAGUCAAGGAGGACAUGCUGUCACUCCUGGCCCUAAUCCUGCAUACAAAAGCUCCACCAAAUGGAACAGAAAGCUCGCAUUUUCAUCCGGCGCACCACCUAACCCAACCAGGCACCUAGGGUGAUCCGGCUCGACGGCGGGCGCCGCUCCCAUCCAUGUCCAACAGUGAAAGCUUCUAAGAAGAACAAUGUCGUGGCGAACACAAAAUCCUCGAAGUUGACGCUAGUCGGGUACCCUCCAAGGAGGACGACAGUGGCCCAGGUGAAGGCCAGCGUGCCGAGGGCGUUGCCCGCCCUCUCCACGGAGGCGACAACUCGAACGAAGAGAUUCAGCUGCUUUUCCGGUGCCGUGUUAGGCAGCUGGGAUGCACAGCUCGCCUCAGGUUCUUCUUUUUAUCUUUGCAUGCAGGUAUCUGUGGAUGCUGUGAUGACUGACUGGUUCAGCUUCUUUUAAAGUAUCAGACCUGAUUACCUGAAGUUGCAGGAGAUCAUGAGACAGCCUAUACUCCCUCUGUCUCGUAAAAAUACCAAGCUAAUACUGGAUAUGACAUAUCCUAAUACUACGAAUAUGGAUAUACUAUGCUCAGAUUCGUAGUAUUAGGAGUCACAUCUAGUACUAUGUUGAUUUUUUGUGGGACGGACGGAGUAAGGCUCUCACGUACGGUUAAUCCAAUGAUGAGACAGCUGCGACUUCGAUUACUUCGCAUGCGAGGUUUCCUGGAUUGUUCUUGCUGUAGUGAAGUUUGGAGAAUAGUGACUUGGUGAAGUGGCAGGCGUUGCUGAUUGGCCGAAAGUCCCAGGACACCUUAUGGAUGAUGAGUGAGUGACACUCUUUUGCAAUCACUAAUGGGGAUCUCGGUUUAAUA